Ovis aries (sheep) is the source of this 57-nucleotide transfer RNA. It matches the Rfam family "tRNA", at positions 8 to 63 of the family's 71-position model. From Rfam's summary of the family: Transfer RNA (tRNA) molecules are approximately 80 nucleotides in length. Their secondary structure includes four short double-helical elements and three loops (D, anti-codon, and T loops). Further hydrogen bonds mediate the characteristic L-shaped molecular structure. tRNAs have two regions of fundamental functional importance: the anti-codon, which is responsible for specific mRNA codon recognition, and the 3' end, to which the tRNAs corresponding amino acid is attached (by aminoacyl-tRNA synthetases). tRNAs cope with the degeneracy of the genetic code in two manners: having more than one tRNA (with a specific anti-codon) for a particular amino acid; and 'wobble' base-pairing, i.e. permitting non-standard base-pairing at the 3rd anti-codon position. Lineage: Eukaryota; Metazoa; Chordata; Mammalia; Artiodactyla; Bovidae. The record is from Rfam.
UGGCUCAGACGGUAAAGCGUCUGCCUGCAAUGCGGGAGACCUGGGUUCGAUUCCUGG